ACAGAUGAAUAAACGUCUCUGAUCUUCACCAUUGCUUCUUUAUCUCUUUAUCUCAUCAGAGGUCUUAGAGGCAAAAAGCCCCCAAGAAGGUACAAGUCCAUGAACCAAGCAAGUGCUGAACUUCCUCCUGGCUCUCCUGUGCUCCCAACAUCUUCAGCUGGAUCACAUUUUUUGAUUACUGAUGAAAGAAACC
RNAcentral lists this long non-coding RNA (193 nucleotides) under Mustela putorius furo (domestic ferret). Its description in RNAcentral is "lncRNA (ENSMPUG00000029054.1)". The record is from RNAcentral. Lineage: Eukaryota; Metazoa; Chordata; Mammalia; Carnivora; Mustelidae.